This 83-nucleotide ribosomal RNA is filed under the name Bacillus licheniformis. RNAcentral also lists the same sequence under 1 other name. The record is from RNAcentral. Lineage: Bacteria; Bacillati; Bacillota; Bacilli; Caryophanales; Bacillaceae.
CCCAUGCCGAACACGGAAGUUAAGCUCUUCAGCGCCGAUGGUAGUUGGGGGCUUCCCCCUGUGAGAGUAGGACGCCGCCAAGC